RNAcentral lists this ribosomal RNA (478 nucleotides) under uncultured bacterium. RNAcentral describes it as "partial 16S ribosomal RNA". It matches the Rfam family "Bacterial small subunit ribosomal RNA", at positions 28 to 507 of the family's 1533-position model. The record is from RNAcentral.
GACGAACGCUGGCGGCGUGCUUAACACAUGCAAGUCGAACGGGAUUUAGUAGACAGAAGCCUCGGCUAAAGAUUACUAAUGAGAGUGGCGAACGGGUGAGUAACGCGUGAGCAACCUGCCUAUGACAGUGGGAUAGCCUCGGGAAACCGGGAUUAAUACCGCUUAAAAUCGUAGAAACACAUGUUUUAACGGUCAAAGAUUUAUCGGUCAUAGAUGGGCUCGCGUCUGAUUAGCUAGUUGGUGAGAUAACAGCCCACCAAGGCGACGAUCAGUAGCCGGUCUGAGAGGAUGAACGGCCACAUUGGAACUGAGACACGGUCCAAACUCCUACGGGAGGCAGCAGUGGGGAAUAUUGCACAAUGGGGGAAACCCUGAUGCAGCGACGCCGCGUGAACGAAGAAGGUAUUCGUAUCGUAAAGUUCUGUCCUAUGGGAAGAUAAUGACAGUACCAUAGAAGAAAGCUCCGGCUAAAUACGUG